Molecule: non-coding RNA, 169 nt
Filed under: Candidatus Acetatifactor stercoripullorum
Lineage: Bacteria; Bacillati; Bacillota; Clostridia; Lachnospirales; Lachnospiraceae
Source: RNAcentral
CUUUGUCUGGCUCCGGUGAAAAGGGAAGCAGGUGGAAGUCCUGCACGAACCCGUCGCUGUAAUAGAGGAGUCCUGCUUUGCCGCAAGGUUUCACUCACUGAAAACAUCAUUGUUUUUGGGAAGAGAAAGCAGGGUGAGGAUACUUAAGUCAGAAGACCUGCCCGUAACG